Molecule: long non-coding RNA, 2053 nt
Organism: Oreochromis aureus
Lineage: Eukaryota; Metazoa; Chordata; Actinopteri; Cichliformes; Cichlidae
Source: Ensembl
UGUUGGGAUUCAGAGAUUCUUUUAUUGUUACCAUAUAACCUGCCUUAUGAUAAAUGCAUUAAUAACAUGUUUUACAGCAUUAUUUUAUCAGUAAUAUUUCUUACAGGGUUCAUAUUGCAUUGAAUAUGUUUGUCAUCACAGUGACCUUUCUAUUCACAGGUUGAGUUCAUUCUAUACACAAUGCAUAACUGUGCUUGUUUAGAGUUGAUGUUCCAUCCAAGAGGGUUUUAAGCUUCACUGGUGAGAGUGUCCAGGUGAUACAUGUUGAGGGAAGAUGAGAACAUAGCAGGUUUAGUUCAUUUUAUACACAUUGCAUAUCUGUGCUUGUUUGGAGUUGAUGUUCUAUCCAAGAGGGUUUUAAGCUUCACUGGUGAGAGUGUCCAGGUGAUACAUGUUGAGGGAAGAUGAGAACAUAGCAGGUGAAUUGCAUGCACGCUUACAAACACACAUGAUUUAAAUAUAGGCCAGGCCAAAGGCCUGGACUUGAUGCAGCUUUCAACUUUACAGCUCCUAACUUGCAGGAAUGGCGGGAGUGUAAUGAAUGAAUGCAAAACAUGCUUACAGACACAAACAUGACAGGGGUUUAUUUUACAGGGUAAAGGUGGACCACAGGUUGCUUUGUUUCUGCUUAGCAACUACUGAGGUAAAUGGUGUUAAAGAUAAAUAUGCAAUAAGUGAACAAGAAAUGUGUGAGGGUGAGCCGGGUGAAACAAAAUGUUGUAGAUAAUGGAAACUUGUCUAACGGGCAUUAACAGUAACCUUUGCAUGUUAUGUAUAUGCUUGAGGCCAAAGGAGGCAUAAAUCCAGAUAGAAAACUUUGAAGUGUGCUUUUUAGCGGAGAUUUAGGCUGACAGGGGGAUGGUGUAUAUUUUACCCGGGGUGUGUUUAAUAAAAAAACUAAAAGCGUUGCUCACACACAUAAAGAGUAUUGAGAUUAAAUAAAGUUAAUAUAAUGGAUAGAGCCCAGAACAGGAAAAUACAUAAGUAAAAUCAAAUGUAAUGUUUGAUUUCACUUUUAUUGGGAAACAAUCAGGUUAGAAAUGUGAGUAACCUAUGUUUAAACUGUGAAAACACUCUCCACAUACAUUAAAACUGUGCAACUCUGAGUGGGCCAUGCAAUCAAGCAACUGUUACAUAUCUGUAUUAAACUAGCCAACAUAGACUCACCACCACAUGAUGUUGCCCUGCAGCGGGGCAGAAAAUCAUUUCCAAACCAGGGAUCUUAUGUUGAUUAUCAUAUUCUUACUUAUGUACACACACACACACAGAAGGGAAAAAUUUCAAAACAAAACAAAAAACAACUUCGCUUAACCUGUCCAGCACAGGAGCAAAAUAAAAAUCUCUUUGGGCUCUGUUAAAAUUUCUUUAGUCAAAGUGUAAAAGGCCAAACCUAGGAGGUUGGGCAACCCGGAAAGUCCCUCCAGUAUCAGGAGUUAAUAGUCAGGAAACAUUCUUCACUUUAACGCGUUUUUUUAUGAAAAACCACUGACUCAUAGAUGCAGAUAGACAUACAAGUGCACAUACAUCCAGAUGUGCAUUUAGACAUUAAAAGUGUAGAGACAUGUACACACAGAUUGGCAAACCGGUACAGAGUCUAGCUGAAGAGCUUAACAAAGCAGACGUGGCAGUAGGGUUUGUGAUUUUGCCUGAUAUGAUAUUGGGAACCAACUUUGAAUAAUGACAGGAACCUGAGAUGAACACAGUAGGUUAGUAAGGUGUAGCAGAGAGAGGGUCAGAGCGAAGGUAGUGGACCUGGGAAUAGUGUAGUGACGUCUUUGGAAGACGUCAAAAGGGGAAUUGUAGAAUUAUAGGGACUAUUUUACAUAACCAUCAUCUUGUCAUUGCAUUAAUUAUCAUUUCAUCCAAGCAUUUAUUGAAGCUGCUGGCAUUAUGUUAUAAUUUGUAUUAUAGGGGUUAUCAUAAUCAAAUAUUAACAUGUUUAUUACAGGUGCAGUUAUAACUACUUUAAAAUGAUUGAGUUAAAUAUAUAUAUAUAUCAUAACUCAUAUGCUGAGUAUAUUGUUACAGUAAAAUAGUAGCUGAGCAAAGGCCU